RNAcentral lists this ribosomal RNA (601 nucleotides) under uncultured bacterium. RNAcentral's name for it is "bacterial SSU rRNA". It matches the Rfam family "Bacterial small subunit ribosomal RNA", at positions 729 to 1334 of the family's 1533-position model. The record is from RNAcentral.
CUGUAGUGUUACUGACGCUAAAGCUCGAAAGUGCGGGUAUCGAACAGGAUUAGAUACCCUGGUAGUCCGCACGGUAAACGAUGGAUGCCCGCUGUUUGCCCUUCGGGGUGAGUGGCUAAGCGAAAGCGUUAAGCAUCCCACCUGGGGAGUACGCCGGCAACGGUGAAACUCAAAGGAAUUGACGGGGGCCCGCACAAGCGGAGGAACAUGUGGUUUAAUUCGAUGAUACGCGAGGAACCUUACCCGGGCUUGAAUUGCAGAUGACGGAUCUAGAGAUAGUGACUUCCUUCGGGACAUCUGUGAAGGUGCUGCAUGGUUGUCGUCAGCUCGUGCCGUGAGGUGUCGGCUUAAGUGCCAUAACGAGCGCAACCCUUCUCUUCAGUUGCCAUCAGGUAGAGCUGGGCACUCUGGAGACACUGCCACCGUAAGGUGUGAGGAAGGUGGGGAUGACGUCAAAUCAGCACGGCCCUUACGUCCGGGGCUACACACGUGUUACAAUGGCCGGUACAGAAAGUCGGAUGCCCGUAAGGUCAUUCUAAUCAAGAAAGCCGGUCCCAGUUCGGACUGAGGUCUGCAACCCGACCUCACGAAGCUGGAUUCG